This 321-nucleotide long non-coding RNA is filed under the name Setaria viridis. Its description in RNAcentral is "long non-coding RNA (SVIR_LNC010588)". The record is from RNAcentral. Lineage: Eukaryota; Viridiplantae; Streptophyta; Magnoliopsida; Poales; Poaceae.
AGUUGUUGUAGCUGGUACAAUCCUGGUCUUGUGACUUUGGACACAACGUAAGGCCCUUCCCAUGGUGAGUUGAGUUUGUGUAGCCCCAUUGUGUCUUCAAUGCACUUGAGGACCAUGUCGCCAAUGUUGAAACAAGGUUCUUUGAUGUUGCGAUCGUGGUAACUUCGUAGUCCUUCAAGGUAUCUUGCUGACUGUACGAGUGCUGCACAGCGUGAUUCUUCCAAGCUAUCGAGGUCUAAGCGCCUUGUUUCCUCUGUUGCCCCUCCAUCGUAUUGCUCGACCGCAGGGGACCUCCACAUGACGUCAGUAGGGAGUAUGGCU